This 411-nucleotide ribosomal RNA is filed under the name uncultured bacterium. RNAcentral's name for it is "bacterial SSU rRNA". It matches the Rfam family "Bacterial small subunit ribosomal RNA", at positions 507 to 916 of the family's 1533-position model. The record is from RNAcentral.
UGCAGCCGCCGCGGUAAUACGGAGGGUGCGAGCGUUAAUCGGAAUUACUGGGCGUAAAGGGCGCGUAGGCGGUCGCGCAAGUCGGGUGUGAAAGCCCCGGGCUCAACCUGGGAAUUGCAUUCGAUACUGCGUAACUAGAGUCUGGUAGAGGGAAGCGGAAUUCCGCAUGUAGCGGUGAAAUGCGUAGAUAUGCGGAGGAACACCAGUGGCGAAGGCGGCUUCCUGGACCAAGACUGACGCUGAGGCGCGGAAGCGUGGGGAGCAAACAGGAUUAGAUACCCUGGUAGUCCACGCCCUAAACGAUGAGGACUAGACGUUGGGGGGAUAAAACCCUUUAGUGUCGCAGCUAACGCGUGAAGUCCUCCGCCUGGGGAGUACGGCCGCAAGGUUGAAACUCAAAUGAAUUGACGG